Molecule: long non-coding RNA, 1052 nt
Organism: Pezoporus flaviventris
Lineage: Eukaryota; Metazoa; Chordata; Aves; Psittaciformes; Psittacidae
Exons: 3
Source: RefSeq, a predicted model, not a curated record
AACAUUUGCUUAUCCCUGGGGCAAGAAUAAAACACGACAAAGGAAUGAAGUUUCAUCAUCUCCACCUGCUGGAGUUGUGUCUUCUCCCAUGUUAGUCAACUGAAGGUGCUAGUCAGAUGCAGUUAAGAUGUGCAGCUUUUGUUUAACUGACAACCAUUUAGCAGAGUCCUUGCUGUACUGCACGUUCUCUUGAGACGUGCCAGGCAUCACACUGCACAGUGUCAUGAUGCUGGGCAGGCUGCUGGCCGUGAACAGGAAAACCUCACUAGGUUUUCCCAUUGCUGCUAGAGCAAGAAAGCGUUUAAUUCUGUAAACAGGAUCCAAUGCUAUAAUCUCCAGGUGGAUGCCUCAAAGACAAUUUCUGUAAGCUGCCUUUUAUCUGGAACAAAGAGCUUUGGUUUAAACUUCUUGAAGAACACCACCACCACACUCCAUAACAAAGAAUGUGUAGACCAAGUAAUUAAACAGAGAAUAAUUCUUUACAGAUCACUCUGAUAGCAUUCUGCCAUCUCAUCAGAGCGUUGUUCUGUGAGCAGCUGGAAAUCAGUGCCAUGGAGUAAAUUUCUCUUGACCUAUUUGCUGCUCAAACCAUUGUACCUAAGAGUGCUUCACAUGAGAAGUGCCGCUGCUCUCAGCAUUGUGGCUGCUGGGGAAGUUUGUCAGAGCACUAAAUAAGCAGUGAAAAAAUAACUGAAAGACAUGACAAAAAACGCCUUUAUAGAACCACUGCCUUUUUAAACAUGCACAAGAUGGAAAUGAUAAUACAUAAUUAAUACAUGUACAACUGUAUAACAAAAAUAGUCUUACGCUAUCUGCUAAUGCACAUCAGCGGCAGUGUUACAGUGCAGUAGUAUAGUAUCGAAGGAAGUGCCUAAAUAGGUGGAUAAACAGAACAGUUUUUUUCUCAUGGGUUUUAAGUGGUUUCAUAGUACCAGCACAUUUGUUACCCUCAGACCUUAAAUAUACACAUCAUUCAUUCUUCAAUCAUAAUCUGUCUCAUAUAGUAAGAUGAUCUUUGUCAAUGUUGGAAAUGCAAAACAUCACUCAAACCU